RNAcentral lists this ribosomal RNA (253 nucleotides) under uncultured bacterium. Its description in RNAcentral is "partial 16S ribosomal RNA". It matches the Rfam family "Bacterial small subunit ribosomal RNA", at positions 524 to 776 of the family's 1533-position model. The record is from RNAcentral.
UACAGAGGUCCCGAGCGUUGUUCGGAUUCACUGGGCGUAAAGGGUGCGUAGGUGGCUUGAAAAGUUUGAUGUGAAAGCUCAGGGCUUAACCCUGAAAUGGCAUUGAAUACUGCCGGACUAGAGUUCGGAAGAGGCGAGUGGAAUUCCCGGUGUAGCGGUGAAAUGCGCAGAUAUCGGGAAGAACACCCGUGGCGAAGGCGGUUCUCUGGGACGGUACUGACGCUGAGACGCGAAAGCGUGGGGAGCGAACAGG